Molecule: ribosomal RNA, 255 nt
Filed under: uncultured bacterium
Lineage: Bacteria
Description: partial 16S ribosomal RNA
Rfam family: Bacterial small subunit ribosomal RNA
Source: RNAcentral
UACGUAGGGUGCGAGCGUUAAUCGGAAUUACUGGGCGUAAAGCGUGCGCAGGCGGUGAUGUAAGACCGAUGUGAAAUCCCCCGGGCUUAACCUGGGAACUGCAUUGGUGACUGCAUUGCUGGAGUAUGGCAGAGGGGGGGUGGAAUUCCACGUGUAGCAGUGAAAUGCGUAGAGAUGUGGAGGAACACCGAUGGCGAAGGCAGCCCCCUGGGCCAAUACUGACGCUCAUGCACGAAAGCGUGGGGAGCAAACAGG